GGGUUGUGAGGUUAAGCGACUAAGCGUACACGGUGGAUGCCCUGGCAGUCAGAGGCGAUGAAGGACGUGCUAAUCUGCGAAAAGCGUCGGUAAGGUGAUAUGAACCGUUACAGCCGGCGAUGUCCGAAUGGGGAAACCCAGUGUGAUUCGUCACACUAUCGUUAACUGAAUACAUAGGUUAACGAGGCGAACCGGGGGAACUGAAACAUCUAAGUACCCCGAGGAAAAGAAAUCAACCGAGAUUCCCCCAGUAGCGGCGAGCGAACGGGGAGCAGCCCAGAGUCUGAAUCAGCUUGUGUGUUAGUGGAACGGUCUGGAAAGUCCGACGGUACAGGGUGAUAGUCCCGUACACCAAAAUGCACAGGCUGUGAACUCGAAGAGUAGGGCGGGACACGUGGUAUCCUGUCUGAAUAUGGGGGGACCAUCCUCCAAGGCUAAAUACUCCUGACUGACCGAUAGUGAACCAGUACCGUGAGGGAAAGGCGAAAAGAACCCCGGCGAGGGGAGUGAAAAAGAACCUGAAACCGUGUACGUACAAGCAGUGGGAGCACCUUCGGGUGUGACUGCGUACCUUUUGUAUAAUGGGUCAGCGACUUAUAUUCUGUAGCAAGGUUAACCGUAUAGGGGAGCCGCAGGGAAACCGAGUCUUAACUGGGCGUUAAGUUGCAGGGUAUAGACCCGAAACCCGGUGAUCUAGCCAUGGGCAGGUUGAAGGUUGGGUAACACUAACUGGAGGACCGAACCGACUAAUGUUGAAAAAUUAGCGGAUGACUUGUGGCUGGGGGUGAAAGGCCAAUCAAACCGGGAGAUAGCUGGUUCUCCCCGAAAGCUAUUUAGGUAGCGCCUCGUGAAUUCAUCUUCGGGGGUAGAGCACUGUUUCGGCUAGGGGGUCAUCCCGACUUACCAACCCGAUGCAAACUACGAAUACCGAAGAAUGUUAUCACGGGAGACACACGGCGGGUGCUAACGUCCGUCGUGAAGAGGGAAACAACCCAGACCGCCAGCUAAGGUCCCAAAGUCAUGGUUAAGUGGGAAACGAUGUGGGAAGGCACAGACAGCCAGGAUGUUGGCUUAGAAGCAGCCAUCAUUUAAAGAAAGCGUAAUAGCUCACUGGUCGAGUCGGCCUGCGCGGAAGAUGUAACGGGGCUAAACCAUGCACCGAAGCUGCGGCAGCGACACUAUGUGUUGUUGGGUAGGGGAGCGUUCUGUAAGCCUGCGAAGGUGUGCUGUGAGGCAUGCUGGAGGUAUCAGAAGUGCGAAUGCUGACAUAAGUAACGAUAAAGCGGGUGAAAAGCCCGCUCGCCGGAAGACCAAGGGUUCCUGUCCAACGUUAAUCGGGGCAGGGUGAGUCGACCCCUAAGGCGAGGCCGAAAGGCGUAGUCGAUGGGAAACAGGUUAAUAUUCCUGUACUUGGUGUUACUGCGAAGGGGGGACGGAGAAGGCUAUGUUAGCCGGGCGACGGUUGUCCCGGUUUAAGCAUGUAGGCUGGUUGUCCAGGCAAAUCCGGAUAAUCAAGGCUGAGGUGUGAUGACGAGGCACUACGGUGCUGAAGUAACAAAUGCCCUGCUUCCAGGAAAAGCCUCUAAGCAUCAGGUAACAUCAAAUCGUACCCCAAACCGACACAGGUGGUCAGGUAGAGAAUACCAAGGCGCUUGAGAGAACUCGGGUGAAGGAACUAGGCAAAAUGGUGCCGUAACUUCGGGAGAAGGCACGCUGGUGUGUAGGUGAAGUCCCUGCGGAUGGAGCUGAGACCAGUCGAAGAUACCAGCUGGCUGCAACUGUUUAUUAAAAACACAGCACUGUGCAAACACGAAAGUGGACGUAUACGGUGUGACGCCUGCCCGGUGCCGGAAGGUUAAUUGAUGGGGUUAUCCGUAAGGAGAAGCUCUUGAUCGAAGCCCCGGUAAACGGCGGCCGUAACUAUAACGGUCCUAAGGUAGCGAAAUUCCUUGUCGGGUAAGUUCCGACCUGCACGAAUGGCGUAAUGAUGGCCAGGCUGUCUCCACCCGAGACUCAGUGAAAUUGAACUCGCUGUGAAGAUGCAGUGUACCCGCGGCAAGACGGAAAGACCCCGUGAACCUUUACUAUAGCUUGACACUGAACAUUGAGCCUUGAUGUGUAGGAUAGGUGGGAGGCUUUGAAGCGUGGACGCCAGUCUGCGUGGAGCCAACCUUGAAAUACCACCCUUUAAUGUUUGAUGUUCUAACGUUGGCCCCUUACCGGGGUUGCGGACAGUGUCUGGUGGGUAGUUUGACUGGGGCGGUCUCCUCCCAAAGCGUAACGGAGGAGCACGAAGGUUAGCUAAUCCUGGUCGGACAUCAGGAGGUUAGUGCAAUGGCAUAAGCUAGCUUGACUGCGAGCGUGACGGCGCGAGCAGGUGCGAAAGCAGGUCAUAGUGAUCCGGUGGUUCUGAAUGGAAGGGCCAUCGCUCAACGGAUAAAAGGUACUCCGGGGAUAACAGGCUGAUACCGCCCAAGAGUUCAUAUCGACGGCGGUGUUUGGCACCUCGAUGUCGGCUCAUCACAUCCUGGGGCUGAAGUAGGUCCCAAGGGUAUGGCUGUUCGCCAUUUAAAGUGGUACGCGAGCUGGGUUUAGAACGUCGUGAGACAGUUCGGUCCCUAUCUGCCGUGGGCGCUGGAGAAUUGAGGGGGGCUGCUCCUAGUACGAGAGGACCGGAGUGGACGCAUCACUGGUGUUCGGGUUGUCAUGCCAAUGGCACUGCCCGGUAGCUAAAUGCGGAAGAGAUAAGUGCUGAAAGCAUCUAAGCACGAAACUUGCCCCGAGAUGAGUUCUCCCUGAGACUUUAAGUCUCCUGAAGGAACGUUAAAGACGAUGACGUUGAUAGGCCGGGUGUGUAAGCGCAGCGAUGCGUUGAGCUAACCGGUACUAAUGAACCGUGAGGCUUAACCUUACAACGCCGAAG
Molecule: ribosomal RNA, 2923 nt
Filed under: Klebsiella pneumoniae
Lineage: Bacteria; Pseudomonadati; Pseudomonadota; Gammaproteobacteria; Enterobacterales; Enterobacteriaceae
Description: 23S ribosomal RNA
Rfam family: Bacterial large subunit ribosomal RNA
Source: RNAcentral